This 468-nucleotide ribosomal RNA is filed under the name uncultured bacterium. RNAcentral's name for it is "partial 16S ribosomal RNA". It matches the Rfam family "Bacterial small subunit ribosomal RNA", at positions 28 to 507 of the family's 1533-position model. The record is from RNAcentral.
GACGAACGCUGGCGGCGUGCUUAACACAUGCAAGUCGAACGGAUAGGCCCUGCUUUUGUGGGGUGCUCGAGUGGCGAACGGGUGAGUAACACGUGAGUAACCUGCCCUUGACUUUGGGAUAACUUCAGGAAACUGGGGCUAAUACCGGAUAGGAGCUCCUGCUGCAUGGUGGGGGUUGGAAAGUUUCGGCGGUUGGGGAUGGACUCGCGGCUUAUCAGCUUGUUGGUGGGGUAGUGGCUUACCAAGGCUUUGACGGGUAGCCGGCCUGAGAGGGUGACCGGCCACAUUGGGACUGAGAUACGGCCCAGACUCCUACGGGAGGCAGCAGUGGGGAAUAUUGCACAAUGGGCGGAAGCCUGAUGCAGCAACGCCGCGUGCGGGAUGACGGCCUUCGGGUUGUAAACCGCUUUCGCCUGUGACGAAGCGUGAGUGACGGUAGUGGGUAAAGAAGCACCGGCUAACUACGUG